Molecule: long non-coding RNA, 1531 nt
Organism: Cyprinus carpio (common carp)
Lineage: Eukaryota; Metazoa; Chordata; Actinopteri; Cypriniformes; Cyprinidae
Source: Ensembl
AGCCUCCUCCGUGUUGAUUGGAUGGGUGAUCGGCACGCUCACAUAAACCGUCAAUCAGCUGGUCGUCUUGGAAACAGGCGCGUAAAGUACUGUGAGUCGGCGCAAGUCUCUGAGCGCGGCAGAUCUGUGAGGGGAUUUAUAAACGCUCUUGGAAUCUCAUCGCUCCAGACAACCGUGAAAAUAGUUUACGUCUUGCUCUGUGCUUUACAGCAUCUCCACAUCUUUAAACUGACAGUAUGUAAGCAGAGAAAACACCCGCUUGUAUAAUUGAUCCAGUAUUGCCAGUGUGGACUGUUAUUGACUUUGGUACUGUUUGAUUAACCAUGUCCACACAAGAGACAGAAUUAUCCGACAGUCAGGAGAGGGUGGGUUUGAAGAGAAAACUGACGGGUCCACCGAGACUUUUGCUGGGGAAGUCAAAAUCAAGGGAGAAACUGGAAGCCCAGAAAAACCCUCAGAGGAGAAGGAAUCCCAGCCAGAUGCUCCAGGAGAUACCUCAGGAAUUCUUGUAACAUUGGAGCAUAGUGAAAGCAAAGAUGAAAAUAAAGAAAGUAAAACAAAAAUGACCAGAAGCACUUCAAAAACAUCCAUUAAAAGGACAUUCUCCUCACUCCUCAGGUGUGGAAAGAGGGAGGAAUCAGAGAAAACAGAAAAAAAGAUUUUGAAUCCUCAAAAAACAAAGAAAAACAGAAACAAAGCUCAGCACAGUACGUUUAACUCCAUGGAUGAGAAUAAACUGAGUGAUGUAAACAAGGACGUUCCUAAUGGUAAAAGUAAAACUAGGGCUUUCUUUACAGUGUGGCCCCUUUCUAAGAGAUCCACCACAUCCAAUGUCAGUCUAGGAAGGGGCUGUAGAGAGCAAGACAAUUGCAUGGUUUUUCAGGAGAUAAUGGCACCAAAAGGUUUGACAUUUAAAAAGAUCCCCCGCAUCUUUCCAAGAAAGAAGAAAGCAUCUGAAAUUGAUCAGUUUGAGUAUAAUGCUCCUAAGGAAUCACAAAAAGAAGAAGCUGAUCAACUGAAUCAAUCACCUGAGGCUGCUUUGGACAUUUCCUGUAAAGAAAAAGAAGAGAAACAAAAGGAAGAACAAGACAUAAUAGCGGAAAGCCUUCCAGAGACAUUUACAUUCAGUGCAGAGGUUCCUCCAUCAUGUUGCAGUGAGUUUCCAGGCACAUCAUCAGGUGGUGAUCUGCUAGUCUUAAUUGAGAAGCCUAUUAAAAAUAAUGUCAAAUGCAAGCCAGUGAUUACUAUAGAGCAAGCAUAUUCAUCAGAGGAAGAGAACAUGAAUGAGACACCUCAGUUUGAUGGUCUCACAGUGAACGGAUCCUGGCAACAUUUAAGAAUAAACAGCCUAACAAUCAACACACUGCAUCCUUCUGACCUAAAUGUGUCUCCUGAACUGGACCACAGCCAUUGUAAUGAGACCUUACUGAUUCAGACGGCAAUUUCAAUGGUGCAAGCAGCCAUUCAUGGCGCUGUGGAGCAACUCACAAUCGAGCAGCAGCACAAUCAGAUAAGUUUGGAUCAUGCAUAA